This is a non-coding RNA of Vigna radiata var. radiata (mung bean), 93 nucleotides long. The record is from Rfam. Lineage: Eukaryota; Viridiplantae; Streptophyta; Magnoliopsida; Fabales; Fabaceae.
UAUUGGCUAUGAUGAUUACCAUUCAGCUUUAAAUGCCAGUUCUGCUUCUGAUAAAUUGUGAUUGAUAGAGCUGUAAUAUGUUCUGAGCCGAUC